Molecule: long non-coding RNA, 2213 nt
Organism: Melospiza melodia melodia
Lineage: Eukaryota; Metazoa; Chordata; Aves; Passeriformes; Passerellidae
Exons: 3
Source: RefSeq, a predicted model, not a curated record
CAGCAGAACAGCUAACACCAGAUCUCAGGCUGGCAGGAGAGAAGAACCAUGCUCAGAUUGUCUCACCUCAGGUAACUUAAACAAACCUAAACAAUUUUCAUCCUGGCUGAUGAAGCUUUCACUAAGUACCACAGCCGUCCAGAGCUGGUGCUUGCCCCCAGCAUGAGAAAUUCUUCAGUCAAGUCUUUGCCAAACCACAAAUCCAAGGACUAGACAAAAUGGAACAGGAGAAGGUGAAACCAAGGAAUAUCAGCUGAAAACGGAACUUGGCAAGAAGUUUAGAAGGGCAGCAAAAGACACCACUGUCUCAUGAAAGCUCAUUUCUCUGACCUACACACUGAACUCCACCUGGAGUUACACUUCAUUAAACUACUGUUACCCUGUCUGUAAACUCCAAACUGGACAAUUACCAUUCUUUGAUUAAUCCAGAAUAAGAAAAAUGGAUACUUUAAUUUGGUCAGACUUGAUAGACAAGCUUUGUGCUCAGGUCCUUAGGUAAACUCCCUUGUCUCUCUCACAGGUCAUAAAAAGGCAUUUUCUUAUGCAAAGUUUACAGAGGUUCUGUAACAUUUAUGCAAGAGAAUACAGCAGAGCUAUGCAGUGAGUGCGCCUGAAAGGGAAAAAUGUACUUUGACUCUCAACAAGCACUUAGGGAAGACAUGGACAAUGAAACUCAUAACCUGGAACACUCUUUGAGUAACACUGAUUAAUACAAACCCUUGCACAUUCAAAAGCUAUUGCAUUACCAUCGACCUGGUUGAGUGAAAUCCUUUUGAAAUUCAUUGUUUAUACCACCACCAGCUACUUAUACCCAGAAGUACUAGUCAGUUACAGCACUUGACUAAAAAUAAGAAACAUAAUCACCUUUUAAAGCAGCUUAUCUAACAUUUAUACUCAGCUCUAGCAGCAUGCCCCAACUCCCCACCCAGCACUAUCCAGUGAUUUUGGUCAGGCAGUUUUUAGGAACAACCAUUGCUAUGCUGCAUCUCUGCCUCCAGAAAUGAGCUCCCCAUGCCAGGCCAGGCAUGACUACACAGCUUCACUCUGUGAUGGGGAAAGAGUCUGCCUGAACACGAGAGGAGCAAGAUGCAGAGCUUUCUGCAGCUUAAGGCUGUGAACCAUGGGCAGUAAAACCUGAGCAAUACAGCUGAGAACCAGCUGCAGUCCUGGUUAUCCCCUGUACCAUGAUUGUCCCAUUUCUAAAAAAAAAAACCACCCAAAACAUGAACCAUAGUAAGUGCAUGCAGCUCCAGUCAGAGAUCCACAGGUACCCAUGCUUUUUGUACUGCUUUUGCUCUUGUAAAAACCAUUGUAUGGGUUUUUAUGUAGGAAUCCAUACACUACGUGCACUACAGCAUGAAACUAGAAAUAAGAUCUAUUAUUUUUGGAGUAAGUUGUGUUUUCUUUAGCUAAGCCAAGAUAAAUGCAAAGUAAAUGCAGUAGCUAUGCUGACAUUUUUCAACUGUCACUUGAUCUAUUUUAAACAGUUAAUACUUAAGGCAACUAUGGUUUUAAAACAUUUACUUUAAUACCUAUUUACUGCACAACAAUGCUGUUGUGUGCUUUAGUUUAUAAGCCUUUUGUAAACCAAACAAACCACUUCCACAAAAUCCCAUGUGCUGUAAGAGUAUCAGUUCAACACCUGGGCACCUGGAAUUUUUUGUUUUUUUCUUUUCACAAUUCUCUUUCCAAGGCAGUGCAGUUGGAGAAGCUAAGUCUGAGCACUCUGACUGACAGGGGGUCAGUAAAUAAUCAGUGCCACCAGUUGUGUAUCAAUCUUUCCAUCUUCUCAUCUGAACAACUGAGCUUCUGUCAACCAACUCCAGAAAAACUACCUUUUUAAAAGGCUUCACAAUAAUAAGAAACAAACUGAGCUUUUUUCCUAAGCUCAGUCCUGUAUAUUGUGGAAGUUCAGCAGUGUCCAGGGGAAGUGCAGCCUCCUCAUCCAUUUGAAGAGGAAUUAUCAGUGAGAGCCCUCGGUGACCUACCCCGAAAUAAAAGUGAGAGACAACACAGAGAUAUGACCACGAUCACAGAACUCAUAUGGUAACUCCCCAAACUGCAGAAAUCAUUUAAUCACAGCCCUCUCCAGAUAAAAAGCAGCUCAUGUUAAAGCACUAUAAAUCACAUCCCACCCAAGAGUGGAAUUUUCUAAGAGAUUUGAUGUAAAUCACAAAAAUGGGCAACACUGUGAUCAAGAUUUAUAUGCCAAC